This 222-nucleotide ribosomal RNA is filed under the name uncultured bacterium. RNAcentral describes it as "partial 16S ribosomal RNA". It matches the Rfam family "Bacterial small subunit ribosomal RNA", at positions 15 to 219 of the family's 1533-position model. The record is from RNAcentral.
GAUCAUGGCUCAGGAUGAACGCUGGCGGCGUGCUUAACACAUGCAAGUCGAACGAAGCACUUUAUUUGAUCUCUUCGGAGUGAUUGUUUUGUGACUGAGUGGCGGACGGGUGAGUAACGCGUGGGCAACCUGCCUCAUACAGGGGGAUAACAGUUGGAAACGACUGCUAAUACCGCAUAAGCGCACAGGGUCGCAUGACCUGGUGUGAAAAACUCCGGUGGU